RNAcentral lists this long non-coding RNA (312 nucleotides) under Amborella trichopoda. Its description in RNAcentral is "long non-coding RNA (ATRI_LNC003706)". The record is from RNAcentral. Lineage: Eukaryota; Viridiplantae; Streptophyta; Magnoliopsida; Amborellales; Amborellaceae.
UCUCGUAUGUGAUUCCAGCGGAGGGCGCGUAAAAGUUGGGGGUCCUCGUAGCCGCACGAAGGAAUGUGGAAGGCUAUCAACCUGUCUUAUAUUAUCUUAUAUUAUGAUACAAUUAUUGCAUGAAAUUAUUAUCCAUUGUAUUAUACUAUAAUGCAACGAUAUUUCUAAAAAAUCAUGCAACAAUAUUUUUAAAAAAUCAUGUUUAUGGUAUUUGUGUGAUUCAAAAUUUUGUACAUUUUCUUUAUCUCAAUAAUCGACCCCCCCUAAAAAAAAGUUUAAUUGGAACCCUAGAUAUAGUCAAAUUGAGUCUAG